GACGAACGCUGGCGGCGUGCUUAACACAUGCAGGUCGAACGGAAAGGCUCCAGCUUGCUGGAGUACUCGAGUGGCGAACGGGUGAGUAACACGUGGGUAAUCUGCCCUGCGCUCUGGGAUAAGCCUGGGAAACUGGGUCUAAUACUGGAUAUGACCUUUCUCCUUAUGGGGUUUGGUGGAAAGUUUCUCGGUGUAGGAUGAGCCCGCGGCCUAUCAGCUUGUUGGUGGGGUGAUGGCCUACCAAGGCGACGACGGGUAGCCGGCCUGAGAGGGUGAUCGGCCACAUUGGGACUGAGAUACGGCCCAGACUCCUACGGGAGGCAGCAGUGGGGAAUAUUGCACAAUGGGCGGAAGCCUGAUGCAGCGACGCCGCGUGAGGGAUGACGGCCUUCGGGUUGUAAACCUCUUUCAGCAGGGACGAAGCGUAAGUGACGGUACCUGCAGAAGAAGCACCGGCUAACUAUGUG
RNAcentral lists this ribosomal RNA (467 nucleotides) under uncultured bacterium. Its description in RNAcentral is "partial 16S ribosomal RNA". It matches the Rfam family "Bacterial small subunit ribosomal RNA", at positions 28 to 507 of the family's 1533-position model. The record is from RNAcentral.